UAUUGAGCUGAACGAGCCUCCACUAGUGCACACAGCCGCCAGUCUCUUUAAGGAGAUGUGUUACCGCUACAGAGAAGAUCUGAUGGCAGGAAUCAUCAUCGCAGGCUGGGACCCUCAAGAAGGAGGGCAGGUCAGGCCCUCCUCACCAGAACACUGGAGUCACAGCUUUGAUGCUCCACCCCCUCAGCCAUGUUGUGUGUGUGUGUGUGUGUGUGUGUCUGUCUGUCUGUCUGUCUGUCUGUCUGUCUGUCUGUCUGUCGUCUGUCUGUCUGUCCAGUAUGCACAUAACUCUUGUGAAUGUUUGCAUGUAGUUGCAGGCAAGG
This 323-nucleotide long non-coding RNA is filed under the name Rattus norvegicus (Norway rat). RNAcentral's name for it is "long non-coding RNA NONRATT004493". Lineage: Eukaryota; Metazoa; Chordata; Mammalia; Rodentia; Muridae. The record is from RNAcentral.